Molecule: ribosomal RNA, 473 nt
Filed under: uncultured bacterium
Lineage: Bacteria
Description: bacterial SSU rRNA
Rfam family: Bacterial small subunit ribosomal RNA
Source: RNAcentral
ACUCCUACGGGAGGCAGCAGUGGGGAAUAUUGCACAAUGGGCGCAAGCCUGAUGCAGCCAUGCCGCGUGUAUGAAGAAGGCCUUCGGGUUGUAAAGUACUUUCAGCAGUGAGGAAGGUGGGUAUGUUAAUAGCAUAUUCAUUUGACGUUAGCUGCAGAAGAAGCACCGGCUAACUCCGUGCCAGCAGCCGCGGUAAUACGGAGGGUGCGAGCGUUAAUCGGAAUUACUGGGCGUAAAGCGCAUGCAGGUGGUUUGUUAAGUCAGAUGUGAAAGCCCGGGGCUCAACCUCGGAAUUGCAUUUGAAACUGGCAAACUAGAGUACUGUAGAGGGGGGUAGAAUUUCAGGUGUAGCGGUGAAAUGCGUAGAGAUCUGAAGGAAUACCGGUGGCGAAGGCGGCCCCCUGGACAGAUACUGACACUCAGAUGCGAAAGCGUGGGGAGCAAACAGGAUUAGAUACCCCGGUAGGCUCUGC